This is a long non-coding RNA of Mus musculus (house mouse), 260 nucleotides long. RefSeq annotates it as predicted gene, 38755. The transcript is spliced from 3 exons. The record is from RefSeq and is a predicted model, not a curated record. Lineage: Eukaryota; Metazoa; Chordata; Mammalia; Rodentia; Muridae.
CUUCCGGUAGGCAGAAAGAAUUCUGGGAUAGAGCCAGGCGUGGGAAGAGUCGCUGGGGAAGAUGUGAGGUAGAAGGAUGUGUGGUAGUCGAGCAGAGGUAACCAGCUACGUGGCAGAAUGUAGAGUAGUUUCCAGAGAUCCAGUGUCCACCCCUGGCUUCCAAAGCUGCUGGUGUGCAUAUUCACAUACCUGCCUUUGUAAGACCCCGACUUAGAGCGUUUCUACCUAGAAGAGAUGCCUGCCUUCCUGUGCUGAGGACA